RNAcentral lists this unclassified non-coding RNA (404 nucleotides) under Hevea brasiliensis (rubber tree). The record is from RNAcentral. Lineage: Eukaryota; Viridiplantae; Streptophyta; Magnoliopsida; Malpighiales; Euphorbiaceae.
CUUUCUCUUUUCCUCUAGUACUCAAGAAAGACAAGAGGCAGGUGUAUGUACUCGUUUGCCAUGGGGAAGAUAUGCUGCGCGGAAUCAGAUGAUGAUAGCGGUUUGGAUCUUAAAGUGAUUCUGGUUUUGAUUGUAUUAGCUUUUUUGGUAAUGUCAAUCUGCAUACCUCCAAGGCAGCCAAGGGUUUAUGCUGUGUAUCGCUGUUGUUAGGCACUAUCCUUCAAGCUUAACUCUCUGUUUUCAUUAUUUCUUGUGCAGCAAUAAUGGGUUGCUCACAGAAAUUAUUUAGCGUUUACUAUCUUUUUUCUGAUGUUGUGUAGCUAUUCUUGCGGAAAGUAGUCACAGAAAUAGAUUUUUUUUUCUUUGCAAUUAAACAUAUUGUACUAUUAUUCAUGUUUCUUGCC